Molecule: ribosomal RNA, 604 nt
Filed under: uncultured Actinomycetes bacterium
Lineage: Bacteria; Bacillati; Actinomycetota; Actinomycetes
Description: bacterial SSU rRNA
Rfam family: Bacterial small subunit ribosomal RNA
Source: RNAcentral
GUGAGGUAAUGGCUCACCAAGGCUUCGACGGGUAGCCGGCCUGAGAGGGCGACCGGCCACACUGGGACUGAGAUACGGCCCAGACUCCUACGGGAGGCAGCAGUGGGGAAUAUUGCACAAUGGGCGCAAGCCUGAUGCAGCAACGCCGCGUGCGGGAUGACGGCCUUCGGGUUGUAAACCGCUUUCAGUAGGGACGAAGCGUGAGUGACGGUACCUACAGAAGAAGGACCGGCUAACUACGUGCCAGCAGCCGCGGUGAUACGUAGGGUCCGAGCGUUGUCCGGAAUUAUUGGGCGUAAAGGGCUUGUAGGCGGUCCGUCGCGUCAGGAGUGAAAACUCAGGGCUUAACCCUGAGCCUGCUUUUGAUACGGGCGGACUAGAGGGAUGCAGGGGAGAACGGAAUUCCUGGUGGAGCGGUGGAAUGCGCAGAUAUCAGGAGGAACACCGGUGGCGAAGGCGGUUCUCUGGGCAUUACCUGACGCUGAGAAGCGAAAGCGUGGGGAGCAAACAGGCUUAGAUACCCUGGUAGUCCACGCCGUAAACGGUGGGCACUAGGUGUGGGGGACAUUCCACGUCCUCCGUGCCGAAGCUAACGCAUUAAGUG